GAUGAACGCUGGCGGCGUGCCUAAUACAUGCAAGUCGAGCGAACAGAUAAGGAGCUUGCUCCUUUGACGUUAGCGGCGGACGGGUGAGUAACACGUGGAUAACCUACCUAUAAGACUGGGAUAACUUCGGGAAACCGGAGCUAAUACCGGAUAACAUAUUGAACCGCAUGGUUCAAUAGUGAAAGGCGGCUUUGCUGUCACUUAUAGAUGGAUCCGCGCCGUAUUAGCUAGUUGGUAAGGUAACGGCUUACCAAGGCAACGAUACGUAGCCGACCUGAGAGGGUGAUCGACCACACUGGAACUGAGACACGGUCCAGACUCCUACGGGAGGCAGCAGUAGGGAAUCUUCCGCAAUGGGCGAAAGCCUGACGGAGCAACGCCGCGUGAGUGAUGAAGGUCUUCGGAUCGUAAAACUCUGUUAUCAGGGAAGAACAAAUGUGUAAGUAACUGUGCACAUCUUGACGGUACCUGAUCAGAAAGCCACGGCUAACUACGUG
RNAcentral lists this ribosomal RNA (497 nucleotides) under uncultured bacterium. RNAcentral describes it as "partial 16S ribosomal RNA". It matches the Rfam family "Bacterial small subunit ribosomal RNA", at positions 28 to 507 of the family's 1533-position model. The record is from RNAcentral.